CCUACGGGAGGCUGCAGUGGGGAAUAUUGGACAAUGGGGGGAACCCUGAUCCAGCCAUGCCGCGUGUGUGAAGAAGGCCCUCGGGUUGUAAAGCACUUUCAGUGAGGAAGAACGCCUGGUGGUUAAUACCCAUCAGGAAAGACAUCACUCACAGAAGAAGCACCGGCUAACUCCGUGCCAGCAGCCGCGGUAAUACGGAGGGUGCGAGCGUUAAUCGGAAUUACUGGCGUAAAGCGCGCGUAGGUGGCUUGAUAAGCCGGUUGUGAAAGCCCCGGGCUCAACCUGGGAACGGCAUCCGGAACUGUCAAGCUAGAGUGCAGGAGAGGAAGGUAGAAUUCCCGGUGUAGCGGUGAAAUGCGUAGAGAUCGGGAGGAAUACCAGUGGCGAAGGCGGCCUUCUGGACUGACACUGACACUGAGGUGCGAAAGCGUGGGUAGCAAACAGGAUUAGAUACCCCAGUAGUC
RNAcentral lists this ribosomal RNA (464 nucleotides) under Vreelandella stevensii. RNAcentral describes it as "partial 16S ribosomal RNA". It matches the Rfam family "Bacterial small subunit ribosomal RNA", at positions 338 to 795 of the family's 1533-position model. Lineage: Bacteria; Pseudomonadati; Pseudomonadota; Gammaproteobacteria; Oceanospirillales; Halomonadaceae. The record is from RNAcentral.